UCCCUGGUGGUCCAGUGGCUGAGACGUCACGUUGUCGAUGCAGGGGGCCCAGGUUCGAUCCCUGGUCAGGGAG
This 73-nucleotide transfer RNA is filed under the name Ovis aries (sheep). It matches the Rfam family "tRNA". From Rfam's summary of the family: Transfer RNA (tRNA) molecules are approximately 80 nucleotides in length. Their secondary structure includes four short double-helical elements and three loops (D, anti-codon, and T loops). Lineage: Eukaryota; Metazoa; Chordata; Mammalia; Artiodactyla; Bovidae. The record is from Rfam by way of RNAcentral.